Molecule: long non-coding RNA, 199 nt
Filed under: Phoenix dactylifera (date palm)
Lineage: Eukaryota; Viridiplantae; Streptophyta; Magnoliopsida; Arecales; Arecaceae
Description: long non-coding RNA (PDAC_LNC003873)
Source: RNAcentral
UGAAUCACGUGAAUAAUCUCUUCCAAUGAAAAUACUCAGGCCAAAUGUUCAAUCACAAUGGAAAGAACACACCAAUCUCCGUUCAAAUGCUUUUGCAAAGAUAGGAUGGAAGAAAGUUAAUUUCUUGCUUAAAACACAACCCUCUUGAGGAUGAUAGUGUUAUUUUGAUGAUUAACAAGCAAUUAUCAAGAGUAUGUUA